CGGGAUAGCUCAGUUGG
RNAcentral lists this transfer RNA (17 nucleotides) under Bartramia stricta. RNAcentral describes it as "partial tRNA-Phe". The record is from RNAcentral. RNAcentral also lists the same sequence under 2 other names. Lineage: Eukaryota; Viridiplantae; Streptophyta; Bryopsida; Bartramiales; Bartramiaceae.